This 497-nucleotide ribosomal RNA is filed under the name uncultured bacterium. RNAcentral's name for it is "partial 16S ribosomal RNA". It matches the Rfam family "Bacterial small subunit ribosomal RNA", at positions 28 to 508 of the family's 1533-position model. The record is from RNAcentral.
GAUGAACGCUGGCGGCGUGCCUAAUACAUGCAAGUCGAGCGAACAGACGAGGAGCUUGCUCCUCUGACGUUAGCGGCGGACGGGUGAGUAACGCGUGGAUAACCUACCUAUAAGACUGGGAUAACUUCGGGAAACCGGAGCUAAUACCGGAUAAUAUAUUGAACCGCAUGGUUCAAUAGUGAAAGACGGUUUUGCUGUCACUUAUAGAUGGAUCCGCGCCGCAUUAGCUAGUUGGUAAGGUAACGGCUUACCAAGGCAACGAUGCGUAGCCGACCUGAGAGGUGGAGCGCCCCCACUGAGACGGAAACCGCGCCAGGCCCCUGCCGGGGGGAACAAGGAGGAAUUCUCCCGCAAGGGCCGAAGGCCGGACGGAGCACCCCCGCGGGAGUAAUGAGGGUCUACGGAUCUAAAAACUUUUUUAUGGGGAAAAAAAAAAUGUUUAAGAACUUAUGCCCGUUUUGAGGUCCCCUAACAAGAAAGCCAGGCCAAACUACGGC